UUUCCGUUGCUGGUUUGACUUUAGUUUUAUUAUACGACAAGUUUAAAUUUGCAGAAAUAUAUUUUUUUUAGCCUUGGCAGGGCAUCCGAGAUGGUCAUGUGAACGACUUUGCUUUCACAUGGAAACCGAGUACUGGUGGUUUAGCCCCCAAUAGCAUAAGAAACUUGAACAAUGCAACCGUUAUUCAUAACAAAGACAAUAGCCGCUUCGAAAAUAAUUAGUAACUGACUUUGCUUAUUGAUUACAUGAUCUUGGGCACACUUCACGACCUUUCCAGGUAUGCUUUUCUAUAGGUCUUUGUCGAGUGAUUGUGGAAUUGGAAUACAUUGGUGCAUUUCAGCGAAAUAACAAAUUAUAACCUAAUUUAGUUUUUUUUUUCUACAUACAUGCAUCUACCAGCUUGAUUGACAGGUAUAGAAUUUUGGUGUUGGUUAUGAAUUUUGGUGCUGGUUAUGAAUUUUGGUGUUGGGACUGCUUAUGAAUUUCGAAACUUGCUAAUCCCCAGUUAGAAGUUAUGGAGAGAACAUAGUUCAGAGGCUUUUGGAAAUUAAUGCAAUGGAGCUGAAAAUGAUCCGUGCCACCACGAGAAGGCUGAC
RNAcentral lists this long non-coding RNA (596 nucleotides) under Helianthus annuus (common sunflower). RNAcentral describes it as "hypothetical non coding rna". Lineage: Eukaryota; Viridiplantae; Streptophyta; Magnoliopsida; Asterales; Asteraceae. The record is from RNAcentral.